UGGUUCAGGAAGAGUCAGUUUGAUUGGGUGAAGGCAGGGGUGAAGGCAGCAUCGGAGGUCAUUUCGGUAAACCCUGUGUUCAUGAAGGCUGGCACGCCGGACCCCUCAGGUUUUGUAAUGAACUUACAACCUUCAGAAGCUGAGGCAGGGUUUGAUGUUCGUCUGCCACCCACAGCAGAUCUCAAUUUAUUAAUAAAAAGAAUUGACGAGGAAUGGGCACCAACUUCAAAAAAUAUGACAUACAAG
RNAcentral lists this unclassified non-coding RNA (246 nucleotides) under Hevea brasiliensis (rubber tree). The record is from RNAcentral. Lineage: Eukaryota; Viridiplantae; Streptophyta; Magnoliopsida; Malpighiales; Euphorbiaceae.